Heterocephalus glaber (naked mole-rat) is the source of this 271-nucleotide non-coding RNA. Lineage: Eukaryota; Metazoa; Chordata; Mammalia; Rodentia; Bathyergidae. The record is from RefSeq and is a predicted model, not a curated record.
CUGGAUCCGCAUGGAUUUCUCUUUCAGAGAUCUAAGAGCAUGGCCACAAUCUACUGAACUAGUUUAUUCCAAGUGGGAAGGACUCCCAUCUAUUCCACAUGUCACUACCACCAUGGCCCUCUCAAGGAAAAAGGGACAACUUGCUCAUUUCUGCCACAUGUACCCAAAGCAUUGGAAGGCACAACUGAUGGGCAGGACACCUGCUGCAGGCUGGCCUUCAGCCCUGUUCCAACGCACCCCACCCUGGGCAGUUCUCCUCUCUGGUGCCCCA